CUUUAAUACAACGGAAAUAAUUCUUUCAAAAAUCGUUAACCAGUCAAUCACGUGAUCCGAAAAGAAAAAUAAGCGGGAAAUUUUAAAAAAAUACGAAAAAAAAUAUAGCGACGCGGUUGAACGGGAUAGCGACGCGGUCAGUGCAAUAGGACAGCGGGAAAUUGAAAUAGCGCUGAAAAUCGCGGCGCUAAAACGGCCUGGGGAGAACACUGCAUCAUUGCCAGUCACUUCAAUUUAAUUUGCAUACAUUUCCCAAUGUCUGCAUAAAGGUGUUAAUUUUAAUUUAAUGGCAAAUCUGGUACCAGCAGUUUGUUAUAAAAUCAGGAAAACUAAUUUAGGGAAUGGAUGGCAAUUACAAAACAUUAUCUUAUCAUUGUACUUUGUGGUAUGUUGCAAAUUAACUUGAAGUUGUCUGUUGAAUUCCUAUCAUUUUCUUUAUUACUCAUGUCGUCUUUUCAAUCAUGUCAUUGUAAAAUAAAUUUUAUCAACUCUUAAAUUUGUUGUAAUUAAUGAAAAUAAAUAGAUAGAUGGUUGCUGUUGCUGAAUCAGCAUGAUUAGUUUACACAUUAAAUACCUGGAUAUGGCUAUUCCAAUAAAAAUAUGAGUGUUGGACAUCACAUGAUUUUUAUGCCCCACCUACUUAAGGGCAUUAUGUUCUUUCCAUCUGUGUGUCUGUUCCUUUGUCCAUCUGUCUAUCCCACUUCAGAUUAAAAAAAAUGUCAAUGCAGGUUUUCAUGAAGUUUUGACCCCAAUUUCACAGUGCACUGAACAUAAAAAAUGAUAGUGCAAGUGAGGCAUCCAUGUACUACGGACACAUUCUUGAUUUUUCUGUGUUUAAUAAGUGUUGAAGCAAAUAAUUCUGUUACAAAUAAAAAGAAAGUUUGUGGAUGGGUAAAAAAAAGUGUUGUCUAACCUUCCCAUACAUUUUCCCUAGAAUAACCCUUUAAUACACAAAUUUUGAACAAGAGAUACCUAGGGUUUUAUUGAGUUAUUGAUUGAACUUGGUCAAUGGGCAUUAAAAAUUGGAUGGC
Molecule: long non-coding RNA, 1031 nt
Filed under: Mytilus galloprovincialis (Mediterranean mussel)
Lineage: Eukaryota; Metazoa; Mollusca; Bivalvia; Mytilida; Mytilidae
Source: RNAcentral